AAUACUUGUGUAAAUACAACGCUAAAACCAAAGGAUGGUCAGCUUUUCAUUUAGCGUGUCAAAACGGACAUAAAGAGGUAAUUAAGUUAUUAAUCGAUGUUGGUAUGAAUAUUGAUGACACAACAAAUAGCGAUUUAAACGGUCCAGAAUUAAAUAUUCGUGUUUAUACUACCAUUAAAGACAAAAAUGGAUGGUUAGCUUUUACAUGUAGCUUGUUCUAAUGGACAUUCAGAAAUAUCAAAGCUAUUGAUUGAUGUCGGUAUGAAUAUAAAGAAAAGAGACCAUUCUGGAAAAAACAGAUGUUCACAUAGCUUGAUUCAAUGGACAUGGUGAUAUUGUGAAAGAUAUUAAUAAAUUAGUUGUGCAGAAAUAACAAAUACAGGACAAUUACAGACGUAUUCCGUAUAUGUUUGCUAAAGAAAAUGGUUAUUCCGAUAUUAUGAAACUUUUGAAAGAAUAGUUUAAACAACAUUACGAAGAAUAUAAUAAAAGAGCGUAUAAACAUUGUAAUCACAACCAAUUAAGCACUAUAUAGGGAUAUCAAUUUAUUGAAACUUUUACUGACUAUUUGUUUCUAAUUAGAUUUUGUGAC
RNAcentral lists this long non-coding RNA (592 nucleotides) under Mytilus galloprovincialis (Mediterranean mussel). Lineage: Eukaryota; Metazoa; Mollusca; Bivalvia; Mytilida; Mytilidae. The record is from RNAcentral.